RNAcentral lists this ribosomal RNA (104 nucleotides) under Mycoplasmataceae bacterium. RNAcentral describes it as "partial 16S ribosomal RNA". It matches the Rfam family "Bacterial small subunit ribosomal RNA", at positions 1 to 117 of the family's 1533-position model. Lineage: Bacteria; Bacillati; Mycoplasmatota; Mollicutes; Mycoplasmatales; Mycoplasmataceae. The record is from RNAcentral.
UUUUAUGAGAGUUUGAUCCUGGCUCAGGAUUAACGCUAGCGGUAUGCCUAAUACAUGCAAGUCAAACGGCCAGCAAUGGUAGUGGCAAACGGGUGAGUAAUAUG